UGGUCAAGUUAUUAAGGGUGCAGGGCGGAUGCCUUGGCACUAGGAGCCGAUGAAGGACGUGAUAAGCUGCGAUAAGCUUCGGGGAGUUGCACGUAAACUUUGAUCCGAAGAUUUCCGAAUGAGGAAACUCACUUAGAGUAAUGUCUAAGUAUCAUUAAGUGAAUACAUAGCUUAAUGAGGGGAACUCAGGGAACUGAAACAUCUAAGUACCUGAAGGAAGAGAAAGAAAUUCGAUUCCGUAAGUAGCGGCGAGCGAACGCGGAAGAGCCCAAACCAAUAAAGUUUUCUUUAUUGGGGUUGCGGACAUAUCAUAACGAAGAGGUAUCGUAAUUGAAGAGGUUUGGAAAGACCCACCACAGAAGGUAAUAGUCCUGUAUGUUAAACGAGAAGACUUUAGAUAUGAUCCAGAGUACCACGGGACACGUGAAACCCUGUGGGAAGCAGGAGGGACCACCCUCCAAGGCUAAAUACUACCUAGUGACCGAUAGCGUAUAGUACCGUGAGGGAAAGGUGAAAAGAACCCCGGGAGGGGAGUGAAAUAGAACCUGAAACCCUGCACUUACAAGCUGUGGAAGCACAUUUCUUGUGUGACCGCGUACUUUUUGUAGAACGGGCCAACGAGUUACGUUAAGUAGCAAGGUUAAGCACUUAAGGUGUGGAGCCGUAGCGAAAGCGAGUUUUAACUGAGCGUUCAGUUACUUGACGUAGACCCGAAACCGGGCGACCUACCCAUGAGCAGGAUGAAGCGAAAGUAAAAUUUCGUGGAGGUCCGAACCCACGAGCGUUGAAAAGCUCGGGGAUGACUUGUGGGUAGCGGUGAAAUUCCAAUCGAGCCCGGAGAUAGCUGGUUCUCCCCGAAAUAGCUUUAGGGCUAGCCUCAAGGUGAGAGAUACGGAGGUAGAGCACUGAAUGUCCUAGGGGGUAUUGCACCUACCGAAGACUAUCAAACUCCGAAUGCCGUCAUCUUAUACUUGGGAGUCAGACUGUGGGUGAUAAGAUUCAUAGUCGAAAGGGCAACAGCCCAGAUCGUCAGCUAAGGUCCCUAAAUGUAAGUUAAGUGGUAAAGGAUGUGGGAUUGCACAGACAACCAGGAUGUUGGCUUAGAAGCAGCCACUCAUUCAAAGAGUGCGUAAUAGCUCACUGGUCGAGUGAUCCUGCGCCGAAGAUUUCCGGGGCUAAAACUUACUACCGAAGCUACGGCAUCAUUAUGAUGGGUAGGGGAGCUUCCCAUACGGGUUGAAGCAUGACCGUAAGGACAUGUGGACAGUAUGGGAGUGAGAAUGUUGGCAUGAGUAGCGAGAUGUGGGUGAGAAUCCCACAGGCCGUAAACCCAAGGUUUCCAGGGGAAGGUUCGUCCGCCCUGGGUUAGUCGGGACCUAAGCUGAGGCCGAAAGGCGUAGGUGAUGGACAACAGGUUGAUAUUCCUGUACUACCGAUAACCGUUUGAGAGAUGGGAUGACACAGUAGGAUAAGCUAAGCACACUGUUGGUUAUGUGUGCCCAAGCAUUGAGGCAGUCAGAGUAGGUAAAUCCGCUUUGAUAAUGCUGGGAUGUGAUGGGGAGCGAAAUUUAGUAGCGAAGUAGCUGAUUUCACACUGUCAAGAAAAGUCUCUAUCGAGGUUAAAGGUACCCGUACCGCAAACCGACACAGGUGGGUGAGGAGAGUAUCCUAAGGCCCGCGAGAGAACUGUUGUUAAGGAACUCGGCAAAAUGACCCCGUAACUUAGGGAUAAGGGGUGCCACCAUCCGGUGGCCGCAGAGAAUAGGCCCAAGCGACUGUUUACCAAAAACAUAGGUUUCUGCUAAGUCGCAAGACGAUGUAUAGGAGCUGACGCCUGCCCGGUGCUGGAAGGUUAAGGGGAUCUGUUAGAGCAAUCGAAGCAGUGAACUUAAGCCCCAGUAAACGGCGGCCGUAACUAUAACGGUCCUAAGGUAGCGAAAUUCCUUGUCGGGUAAGUUCCGACCCGCACGAAAGGCGUAACGAUUUGGGCACUGUCUCAACAACAGACUCGGUGAAAUUGUAAUUCCGGUGAAGAUGCCGGAUACCUGCGACAGGACGGAAAGACCCCAUGGAGCUUUACUGUAGCUUGACAUUGGGUCUUGGUACUACAUGUACAGGAUAGGUGGGAGGCUUUGAAACCAGGACGCCAGUUUUGGCGGAGCCAUCCUUGGGAUACCACCCUUGUAGUACUGGGACUCUAACCAUAGGCCAUGAAUCUGGUCUUGGGACACUGUCAGGUGGGCAGUUUGACUGGGGCGGUCGCCUCCCAAAAGGUAACGGAGGCGCUCAAAGGUUCUCUCAGUACGGUCGGAAAUCGUACGUAGAGUGUAAAGGCAAAAGAGAGCUUGAUUGCAAGACAUACAGGUCGAGCAAGGAUGAAAAUCGGACUUAGUGAUCCGGUGGUUCUGCGUGGAAGGGCCAUCGCUCAACGGAUAAAAGCUACCCUGGGGAUAACAGGCUUAUCUCCCCCAAGAGUCCACAUCGACGGGGAGGUUUGGCACCUCGAUGUCGGCUCAUCACAUCCUGGGGCUGUAGUAGGUCCCAAGGGUUGGGCUGUUCGCCCAUUAAAGUGGUACGCGAGCUGGGUUCAGAACGUCGUGAGACAGUUCGGUCCCUAUCCGUCGCAGGCGUAGGAAAUUUGAGAAGACCUGUCCUUAGUACGAGAGGACCGGGAUGGACGUACCUCUGGUGUACCAGUUGUUCUGCCAAGGGCAUGGCUGGGUAGCUAUGUACGGAAUGGAUAAGCGCUGAAAGCAUCUAAGCGCGAAGCCAACUUCAAGAUAAGAUUUCCCACCGCAAGGGUAAGACCCCAGAAAGACUAUCUGGUUGAUAGGUCGAAGGUGUAAGUGCAGCAAUGUAUUUAGCUUAUCGAUACUAAUAGGUCGAGGACUUGACCAAAUU
Molecule: ribosomal RNA, 2901 nt
Filed under: Clostridioides difficile
Lineage: Bacteria; Bacillati; Bacillota; Clostridia; Peptostreptococcales; Peptostreptococcaceae
Description: bacterial LSU rRNA
Rfam family: Bacterial large subunit ribosomal RNA
Source: RNAcentral